GACGAACGCUGGCGGCGUGCUUAACACAUGCAAGUCGAACGGAAAGGCCCUGCUUUUGUGGGGUGCGCGAGUGGCGAACGGGUGAGUAACACGUGAGUAACCUGCCCUUGACUUUGGGAUAACUUCAGGAAACUGGGGCUAAUACCGGAUAGGAGCUCCUGCUGCAUGGUGGGGGUUGGAAAGUUUCGGCGGUUGGGGAUGGACUCGCGGCUUAUCAGCUUGUUGGUGGGGUAGUGGCUUACCAAGGCUUUGACGGGUAGCCGGCCUGAGAGGGUGACCGGCCACAUUGGGACUGAGAUACGACCCAGCCUCCUACGGGAGGCAGCAGUGCGGUAUAUUGCACAAUGGGCGGAAGCCUGAUGCAGCCACGCCGCGUGCGGGAUGACGGCCUUCGGGUUGUAAACCGCUUUCGCCUGUGACGAAGCGUGAGUGACGGUAAUGGGUAAAGAAGCACCGGCUAACUACGUG
RNAcentral lists this ribosomal RNA (468 nucleotides) under uncultured bacterium. RNAcentral's name for it is "partial 16S ribosomal RNA". It matches the Rfam family "Bacterial small subunit ribosomal RNA", at positions 28 to 507 of the family's 1533-position model. The record is from RNAcentral.